This 273-nucleotide long non-coding RNA is filed under the name Medicago truncatula (barrel medic). RNAcentral describes it as "lncRNA gene9251". The record is from RNAcentral. Lineage: Eukaryota; Viridiplantae; Streptophyta; Magnoliopsida; Fabales; Fabaceae.
UUUAUUUUUCAUCCUCUUUCUAUCUCUCUAUAGUUUUAGAGUCUUUUGUCUCUUUGUUCAAUUUUUCGUCUUCUUUAACAACGGGUGAUAUAUGUGGGUUACUCUUCGACGAUUGUUAUUUCUUAUGUAGAUUCAUUUAAAGAUGAAGCACAAAGGCUGCACAAUAGUUGAAGUUUGACUACAAAGAUUUGUAGAGUUCCUAUAAAAAAAAAUUAAAGGAUUUGUAGAGUUGUAUAUUUUACAAAACUAAUUAAAGUUGUAAUUUUUUUUUAC